AGCUAAGUUUGUUAUUGGUAUGUGCUUUCAUGUGCAUGCACACUUCUUCUGAAGCCAACCUGAAGAAGUGUGCAUGCACACGAAAGCCCAUACCAAUAACAAACUUAGUUU
Non-coding RNA from Podarcis lilfordi (Lilford's wall lizard), 111 nucleotides. Lineage: Eukaryota; Metazoa; Chordata; Lepidosauria; Squamata; Lacertidae. The record is from the annotation of a GenBank genome assembly.